AAGAGAGCGAUGAAGGCAGCGCCGCAGACAGCCCCGGUCCUUGCCGGCAGGAAACACUCAAGGUCACAAGAGAGAAAUUGCAAACCGAUUGCAGUCUCCUUGCGUCAAAUGCGCGAGAGGAGGAGCUUUUGCGCCUGCGCAGCUGAUACCCCACGUACUGACCUAGCGCGCAUGUGCGAAGAGAGUCGGAGAAAGCGAGGGUGGAGACUUACAACCGCGCUCAUUGGAUGACGCAAUGCUCGCGAGUCUGGCCGGAACGGAGCCCGGGGGCGAGCCCGGACGUGCGCACGUACGCGCGUGCACGUGUUCCUCGCUUCCGCUCCUGGGACUGGGCGCCAUCUUGGGCUGGGCUUUAAAGCGUGGACGACUGGAAGAGUGUGGUUGCACGGUCUUCUCUUUGUUCCAAAUUUGAGGAAAACAAACCACCAAAAGAUGUUAGACAGUUCGGGGGGCUGGUUAUUUCUUCAGUUUUUCUCUAAAACUUCAGCUUGAGCAGGAAGGAGCCAUAAAUUCUGUGACAUAGCUGCCUUCUUAUCUGUCCUGGGAGUUAUAGACUACACACAGAAGACAAUUCAUGUACCUCUGCAUAAUGAGUCUAGUAAAUGGAACCCCAUCCUAUCUUUGCCUCAGGAAGAGUCAAUGAGUAAAAUAACUGAGCAUCGAAUAACCCUGGAUGACCCACAGAUCCUGAAGAACAGUUAAAUAAUUACCAAGAAGACCAAGAAGAGAAGAGUCUGUUAGAAGCAAAGAUGAGGUCAAGAAAGAGUAAGUGAAUUGACCAAGGUUAUGGAUUCAGGAAUCAACCUCAGUAGUCUAAUUUCACUGAAGGCCAUGUGAGCCAGAGAGAGCAGAGCACAGAGGCUCACAGGUUGGGUCAUCAUAGCUGAAGUGGUACCAGCUGCAGAGGUGUGAAACAGCCAACUAGCGGGUGGAACACCCACAGUGCCUCAUAUAACACUCAGAAAGUGGAAAUGACUUCAGAGACGUAAGGACCGAGUGAGGAUCGGUGGCAGGAGUGCG
This is a long non-coding RNA of Ochotona princeps (American pika), 1020 nucleotides long. RefSeq lists it as uncharacterized. NCBI's taxonomy places the organism in Eukaryota, Metazoa, Chordata, Mammalia, Lagomorpha, Ochotonidae. The record is from RefSeq and is a predicted model, not a curated record. The transcript has 5 exons.